RNAcentral lists this long non-coding RNA (342 nucleotides) under Homo sapiens (human). RNAcentral's name for it is "non-protein coding lnc-SOWAHB-4:4". The record is from RNAcentral. Lineage: Eukaryota; Metazoa; Chordata; Mammalia; Primates; Hominidae.
GGAGUACGGCCAGCAGAGCAGAGCUGGUCGACUACAUCCUAGAGUUGGGCUACAUGAAGGCGGAAGAGGCCUGAAGCAAAUUCCAGCAGAUAGUAUCAGCCCUCUAGUACCACCAACAGAAGGGGGAUAUCCAUAGGGACCUGAAGCCCAAGAAUUUCCUUGUGGUCCAUCACAACAUAAAAAUAACAGACUUUGGAUUUGAUACCAGGUUCACUGUAGGCCAGAAGCUGGGCACCUUCGGUGGGAGUCCCUCUUAUGCGGUCCUGAACUCUUCCAUGGCCAAACAUAUGAUGGGCCCCAGUGGACAUGUGGAGCUGGAAAGUCAUUCUUUACACCACAGUA